This 143-nucleotide ribosomal RNA is filed under the name uncultured eukaryote. RNAcentral describes it as "partial small subunit ribosomal RNA". It matches the Rfam family "Bacterial small subunit ribosomal RNA", at positions 1383 to 1525 of the family's 1533-position model. The record is from RNAcentral.
GUACACACCGCCCGUCACACCAUGGGAGCGGGUUCUGCCAGAAGUAGUUAGCCUAACCGCAAGGAGGGCGAUUACCACGGCAGGGUUCGUGACUGGGGUGAAGUCGUAACAAGGUAGCAGUAGGUGAACCUGCAGAAGGAUCA